GACGAACGCUGGCGGCGUGCCUAAUACAUGCAAGUCGAACGCUUCUUUCCUCCCGAGUGCUUGCACUCAAUUGGAAAGAGGAGUGGCGGACGGGUGAGUAACACGUGGGUAACCUACCCAUCAGAGGGGGAUGACACUUGGAAACAGGUGCUAAUACCGCAUAACAGUUUAUGCCGCAUGGCAUAAGAGUGAAAGGCGCUUUCGGGUGUCGCUGAUGGAUGGACCCGCGGUGCAUUAGCUAGUUGGUGAGGUAACGGCUCACCAAGGCCACGAUGCAUAGCCGACCUGAGAGGGUGAUCGGCCACACUGGGACUGAGACACGGCCCAGACUCCUACGGGAGGCAGCAGUAGGGAAUCUUCGGCAAUGGACGAAAAUCUGACCGAGCAACGCCGCGUGAGUGAAGAAGGUUUUCGGAUCGUAAAACUCUGUUGUUAGAGAAGAACAAGGACGUUAGUAACUGAACGUCCCCUGACGGUAUCUAACCAGAAAGCCACGGCUAACUACGUG
This 508-nucleotide ribosomal RNA is filed under the name uncultured bacterium. Its description in RNAcentral is "partial 16S ribosomal RNA". It matches the Rfam family "Bacterial small subunit ribosomal RNA", at positions 28 to 507 of the family's 1533-position model. The record is from RNAcentral.